GACGAGGGUUCCUAGCGUUGUUCGGAAUCAUUGGGCGUAAAGCGUAUGUAGGCGGCUUAGAAAGUCGGGUGUGAAAGCCCUGGGCUUAACCCAGGAAGUGCACUCGAUACUACUGAGCUUGAGUAUUGGAGAGGGUAGUGGAAUUCCUGGUGUAGUGGUGAAAUACGUAGAUAUCAGGAGGAACACCGGUGGCGAAGGCGGCUACCUGGCCAAAUACUGACGCUGAGAUACGAAAGCGUGGGGAGCAAACAGG
RNAcentral lists this ribosomal RNA (253 nucleotides) under uncultured bacterium. Its description in RNAcentral is "partial 16S ribosomal RNA". It matches the Rfam family "Bacterial small subunit ribosomal RNA", at positions 524 to 776 of the family's 1533-position model. The record is from RNAcentral.